GAUGAACGCUGGCGGCGUGCCUAAUACAUGCAAGUCGAGCGAACAGAUGAGGAGCUUGCUCCUCUGACGUUAGCGGCGGACGGGUGAGUAACACGUGGAUAACCUACCUAUAAGACUGGGAUAACUUCGGGAAACCGGAGCUAAUACCGGAUAAUAUAUUGAACCGCAUGGUUCAAUAGUGAAAGACGGUUUUGCUGUCACUUAUAGAUGGAUCCGCGCCGCAUUAGCUAGUUGGUAAGGUAACGGCUUACCAAGGCAACGAUGCGUAGCCGACCUGAGAGGGGGAACAGGCCAAACGGGACCGGAGACAGGGCCCAAAUCCCAAGGGGAGGCAGAGGUGGGGAAUUUUCCGCAAGGGGGGAAAGCCGGCCGGGCAAACGCCGGGGGGGGGAGAAAGUUUUUGGGUUCGAAAAACCUUUUUAUUGGGAAAAAACAAAUGGUGAAAUAACUAUGCCCGUUUGAAGGGACCCAAAUAAAAAACCCCGGCUAAACUCGGG
RNAcentral lists this ribosomal RNA (497 nucleotides) under uncultured bacterium. Its description in RNAcentral is "partial 16S ribosomal RNA". It matches the Rfam family "Bacterial small subunit ribosomal RNA", at positions 28 to 507 of the family's 1533-position model. The record is from RNAcentral.